AAAAGCUCGACCUCAAAUCAGGUAGGAAUACCCGCUGAACUUAAGCAUAUCAAUAAGCGGAGGAAAAGAAACCAACAGGGAUUGCCUCAGUAGCGGCGAGUGAAGCGGCAAGAGCUCAGAUUUGAAAUCGUGCUUUGCGGCACGAGUUGUAGAUUGCAGGUUGGAGUCUGUGUGGAAGGCGGUGUCCAAGUCCCUUGGAACAGGGCGCCCAGGAGGGUGAGAGCCCCGUGGGAUGCCGGCGGAAGCAGUGAGGCCCUUCUGACGAGUC
This 268-nucleotide ribosomal RNA is filed under the name uncultured eukaryote. RNAcentral describes it as "partial 28S ribosomal RNA". It matches the Rfam family "Eukaryotic large subunit ribosomal RNA", at positions 1 to 266 of the family's 3401-position model. The record is from RNAcentral.